UCACCUAUUGGAUUCACAUUUCCCCAAUAUGUCUCUUUUUGUGGAUGUUCAAGCGGGUCACCAUAAACCUCACUCGUGCUCGUGAGCAAAAACCUCGCCCCAAUACGCUUGGCAAGACCCAACAUGUUUAAGGUGCCCAUCACAUUUGUCUUGUAAUAACAGUCAAGGUUCUCAAGCAAUUCCAAUAUUCAAUAAGGUAUAAAUUUAAAUUUAUUUUAAAGUAAUAGCUAUAAAAAAUCUGCUAUUCAUAACAAAUGCAAUUUUCAAGAGAGGAUAUAAUAGUCUUGACAGGAUUGUACUUGUAAUGAACCGGCGAAGCAGGACAAGCUAAGUGAUAGAUCUGAUCCACCUCCAGUAAAAUGGGUUCAACAACAUCAUGCCUAAUAAGCUCAAACCUUGGAUUCCCAAAAUGAUGCAUCACGUUAUCUUUCCUUCCGGUAAAGAAAUUAUCAAUCACAAUCACAUCAUCACCUCUACCAAUUAACUUAUCAACCAAAUGACUACCCAC
RNAcentral lists this long non-coding RNA (508 nucleotides) under Panax ginseng (ginseng). Its description in RNAcentral is "long non-coding RNA (PGIN_LNC013125)". The record is from RNAcentral. Lineage: Eukaryota; Viridiplantae; Streptophyta; Magnoliopsida; Apiales; Araliaceae.